RNAcentral lists this ribosomal RNA (553 nucleotides) under uncultured bacterium. RNAcentral describes it as "partial 16S ribosomal RNA". It matches the Rfam family "Bacterial small subunit ribosomal RNA", at positions 355 to 895 of the family's 1533-position model. The record is from RNAcentral.
UGGGGAAUUUUGGGACAAUGGGCGAAAGCCUGAUCCAGCAAUGCCGCGUGUGUGAAGAAGGCCUUCGGGUUGUAAAGCACUUUUGUCCGGAAAGAAAUCCUUGGCUCUAAUACAGUCGGGGGGAUGACGGUACCGGAAGAAUAAGCACCGGCUAACUACGUGCCAGCAGCCGCGGUAAUACGUAGGGUGCAAGCGUUAAUCGGAAUUACUGGGCGUAAAGCGUGCGCAGGCGGUUUGCUAAGACCGAUGUGAAAUCCCCGGGCUCAACCUGGGAACUGCAUUGGUGACUGGCAGGCUAGAGUAUGGCAGAGGGGGGUAGAAUUCCACGUGUAGCAGUGAAAUGCGUAGAGAUGUGGAGGAAUACCGAUGGCGAAGGCAGCCCCCUGGGCCAAUACUGACGCUCAUGCACGAAAGCGUGGGGGAGCAAACAGGAUUAGAUACCCUGGGUAGUCCACGCCCCUAAACGAUGUCAACUAGUUGUUGGGGGAUUCAUUUCCUUAGUAACGUAGCUAACGCGUGAAGUUGACCGCCUGGGGAGUACGGUCGCAAGAUU